RNAcentral lists this unclassified non-coding RNA (213 nucleotides) under uncultured fungus. Its description in RNAcentral is "sequence contains ITS1". Lineage: Eukaryota; Fungi. The record is from RNAcentral.
UAUUCUUUAUGUGUAUUGUUCAGUCAAGAUGUCAUGUCAUGUGUGUAUCCAGUGGAAGGUCAGAAUCGCUUCUCACACCCCCCACCCAACCUGGCCCACUACAGACCCCCAGGCAGAGAACUCUCAUCCUCCACCCAGUGCACUAGUGAGACCACAAAGGCCCACUAACCUCUUCACACUCUAAUGAUCCUUCCGCAGGUUCACCUACGGAAA